This 253-nucleotide ribosomal RNA is filed under the name uncultured bacterium. RNAcentral's name for it is "partial 16S ribosomal RNA". It matches the Rfam family "Bacterial small subunit ribosomal RNA", at positions 524 to 776 of the family's 1533-position model. The record is from RNAcentral.
UACGUAGGGUGCAAACGUUGUUCGGAAUUACUGGGCAUAAAGAGCACGUAGGUGGUCUGCUAAGUCACGUGUGAAAUCCCCCGGCUCAACCGGGGAAUUGCGCGUGAUACUGGCAGGCUCGAGGUGGGUAGGGGUGAGCGGAACUCCAGGUGGAGCGGUGAAAUGCGUAGAUAUCUGGAGGAACACCGGUGGCGAAAGCGGCUCACUGGACCCAAUCUGACACUGAGGUGCGAAAGCUAGGGUAGCAAACGGG